RNAcentral lists this ribosomal RNA (539 nucleotides) under Alternaria tamaricis. RNAcentral describes it as "eukaryotic LSU rRNA". The stretch from base 161 to 314 matches the Rfam family "5.8S ribosomal RNA". The record is from RNAcentral. Lineage: Eukaryota; Fungi; Ascomycota; Dothideomycetes; Pleosporales; Pleosporaceae.
CAGGAUGAGGCGGGCUGGACCUCUCGGGGUUACAGCCUUGCUGAAUUAUUCACCCUUGUCUUUUGCGUACUUCUUGUUUCCUUGGUGGGUUCGCCCACCACUAGGACAAACAUAAACCUUUUGUAAUUGCAAUCAGCGUCAGUAACAAAUUAAUAAUUACAACUUUCAACAACGGAUCUCUUGGUUCUGGCAUCGAUGAAGAACGCAGCGAAAUGCGAUAAGUAGUGUGAAUUGCAGAAUUCAGUGAAUCAUCGAAUCUUUGAACGCACAUUGCGCCCUUUGGUAUUCCAAAGGGCAUGCCUGUUCGAGCGUCAUUUGUACCCUCAAGCUUUGCUUGGUGUUGGGCGUCUUGUCUCUAGCUUUGCUGGAGACUCGCCUUAAAGUAAUUGGCAGCCGGCCUACUGGUUUCGGAGCGCAGCACAAGUCGCACUCUCUAUCAGCAAAGGUCUAGCAUCCAUUAAGCCUUUUUUUUCAACUUUUGACCUCGGAUCAGGUAGGGAUACCCGCUGAACUUAAGCAUAUCAAUAAGGCGGAGAAAA